GUGCCAGCCGCCGCGGUAAUACCGGCAGCCCGAGUGAUGGCCGAUCUUAUUGGGCCUAAAGCGUCCGUAGCUGGCUGCGCAAGUCCGUCGGGAAAUCCACUCGCCCAACGAGUGGGCGUCCGACGGAAACUGCACAGCUUGGGACCGGAAGGCUCGAAGGGUACGUCCGGGGUAGGAGUGAAAUCCCGUAAUCCUGGACGGACCACCGGUGGCGAAAGCACGUCGGGAAGACGGAUCCGACGGUGAGGGACGAAAGCCAGGGUCUCCAACCGGAUUAGAAACCCUUUAGUCC
Molecule: ribosomal RNA, 292 nt
Filed under: uncultured bacterium
Lineage: Bacteria
Description: partial 16S ribosomal RNA
Rfam family: Archaeal small subunit ribosomal RNA
Source: RNAcentral